RNAcentral lists this ribosomal RNA (515 nucleotides) under uncultured bacterium. Its description in RNAcentral is "bacterial SSU rRNA". It matches the Rfam family "Bacterial small subunit ribosomal RNA", at positions 28 to 534 of the family's 1533-position model. The record is from RNAcentral.
GAUGAACGCUAGCGGCAGGCCUAACACAUGCAAGUCGAGGGGCAUCGCGGUGCAGCAAUGCACUGGCGGCGACCGGCGUACGGGUGCGUAACGCGUAUGCAACCUGCCCCGCACCGGGGGAUAGCCCGCCGAAAGGCGGAUUAAUACCCCAUGGUCCCGGGGGCCCGCAUGGGCAUCCGGGUAAAGCCUUGGCGGUGCGGGAUGGGCAUGCGUGCCAUUAGCUGGCUGGUGGGGUAACGGCCCACCAGGGCAACGAUGGCUAGGGGGUCUGAGAGGAUGGUCCCCCACACUGGUACUGAGACACGGACCAGACUCCUACGGGAGGCAGCAGUGAGGAAUAUUGGUCAAUGGGCGAAGCCCUGAACCAGCCAUGCCGCGUGCGGGAUGAAGGCCCUACGGGUUGUAAACCGCUUUUCCCCGGGAAGAAUAACCCCGAUGAGUCGGGGGAUGCCGGUACCGGGGGAAUAAGGAUCGGCUAACUCCGUGCCAGCAGCCCGCGGUAAACACGAGAGUUA